GCACUGCUGAGGAGUCCCAUAAUAGGACGAACCGGCCGUCCAGUGC
This is a non-coding RNA of Schistosoma mansoni, 46 nucleotides long. NCBI's taxonomy places the organism in Eukaryota, Metazoa, Platyhelminthes, Trematoda, Strigeidida, Schistosomatidae. The record is from Rfam.